Molecule: non-coding RNA, 26 nt
Filed under: Rattus norvegicus (Norway rat)
Lineage: Eukaryota; Metazoa; Chordata; Mammalia; Rodentia; Muridae
Source: RNAcentral
UACAAGUCUUUUGUUUUUUUUUAAGU